UACGGAGGGUGCAAGCGUUAUCCGGAUUUACUGGGUUUAAAGGGUGCGUAGGCGGGCCAUUAAGUCAGUUGUGAAAGCUCCGAGCUUAACUCGGAAACUGCCAUUGAUACUAUUGGUCUUGAAUUCGGUCGAGGUUGGCGGAAUGUGUCGUGUAGCGGUGAAAUGCUUAGAUAUGACACAGAACACCGAUUGCGAAGGCAGCUAGCUAGACCGACAUUGACGCUGAGGCACGAAAGCGUGGGGAUCAAACAGG
Molecule: ribosomal RNA, 253 nt
Filed under: uncultured bacterium
Lineage: Bacteria
Description: partial 16S ribosomal RNA
Rfam family: Bacterial small subunit ribosomal RNA
Source: RNAcentral